This 1421-nucleotide ribosomal RNA is filed under the name uncultured delta proteobacterium. RNAcentral's name for it is "bacterial SSU rRNA". It matches the Rfam family "Bacterial small subunit ribosomal RNA". Lineage: Bacteria; Deltaproteobacteria. The record is from RNAcentral.
GAGUAACGCGUAGGCAACCUGCCCUUUCGAACGGGAUAACCCAGCGAAAGUUGGACUAAUACCGUAUACUGCAUAUUGAUCGCAUGAUUAGUAUGUAAAAGGUUGCUCUUCGGAGCACUCACGAGAGGAUGGGCCUGCGUUCCAUUAGUUAGUUGGUGAGGUAACGGCUCACCAAGGCAGCGAUGGAUAGCUGAUUUGAGAGAGUGGUCAGCCACACUGGGACUGAGAUACGGCCCAGACUCCUACGGGAGGCAGCAGUGAGGAAUAUUGCGCAAUGGAGGAAACUCUGACGCAGCAACGCCGCGUGGGGGGAUGAAGUUCUAUGGAGCGUAAACCCCUGUAAGUAGGGACGAAAGGUAGAUAUUCUAAGAGGGUAUUUAUUUAAGGGUACCUACAGAGUAAGCUCCGGCUAACUCCGUGCCAGCAGGCCGGGUAAUACGGGGGGAGCGAGCUUGUCCGGAAUUACUGGGCGUAAAGGGCGUGUAGGCGGUUUAAUAAGUCAGAUGUAAAAGCCCCCGGCUUAACCGGGGAUCGUCAUUUGAAACUGUUAGGCUUGAGUGCGAGAGAGGGUAGUGGAAUUCCCAGUGUAGCGGUGAAAUGCGUAGAUAUUGGGAAGAACACCAGUAGCGAAGGCGGCUACCUGGCUCGCAACUGACGCUAAGGCGCGAAAGCGUGGGGAGCAAACAGGAUUAGAUACCCUGGUAGUCCACGCUGAAAACGAUGAACACUAGGUGUUGGUUCGCCGCAGGCUGAUCAGUGCCGCAGUUAACGCAUUAAGUGUUCCGCCUGGGGAGUACGAUCGCAAGGUUGAAACUCAAAGGAAUUGACGGGGGCCCGCACAAGCGGUGGAGCAUGUGGUUUAAUUCGACGCAACGCGAAGAACCUUACCUGGACUUGACAUCCCGAGAAUUUUCUGGAAACGGAAAAGUGCCUCAACCGAGGAGCUUGGAGACAGGUGCUGCAUGGCUGUCGUCAGCUCGUGUCGUGAGAUGUUGGGUUAAGUCCCGCAACGAGCGCAACCCUCGCCUUUAGUUGCCAUCAUUAAGUUGGGCACUCUAAAGGGACUGCCGGUGUCAAACCGGAGGAAGGUGGGGAUGACGUCAAGUCCUCAUGGCCUUUAUGUCCAGGGCUACACACGUACUACAAUGGUCGGUACAAAGGGCAGCGACCUUGCGAGAGGGAGCGAAUCCCAUAAAGCUGAUCUCAGUCCGGAUCGGAGUCUGCAACUCGACUCCGUGAAGUUGGAAUCGCUAGUAAUCGUGGAUCAGCAUGCCACGGUGAAUACGUUCCCGGGCCUUGUACACACCGCCCGUCACACCACGAAAGUCGGUUGUACCAGAAGUUGCCGGGCUAACCCAAAAGGGGGGCAGGCACCCAAGGUAUGGCUGGUAAUUGGGGUGAAGUCGUAACAAGGUGGCCAA